This 1281-nucleotide long non-coding RNA is filed under the name Zonotrichia albicollis (white-throated sparrow). RNAcentral's name for it is "lncRNA (ENSZALG00000001934.1)". Lineage: Eukaryota; Metazoa; Chordata; Aves; Passeriformes; Passerellidae. The record is from RNAcentral.
UGUGUCCCCAUCUCCCGUCCCGUACCUGUCUCAGGGCUGUGUCCCCCUCUCCCGUCCCGUACCUGUCUCACGGCUGUGUCCCCCAGCGCUCGCUUCCCGCCGCGGGGGCAGUUCUGGAUGUAGCAGGCGGAGGAGAGGGCGAGGAGGCAGAGGAAGGAGAGGGGCAGCGAAGGCUCGGCCAUGGUGCAGGGGAAGCUGCUCCGGCUCUCUGGCCCCGUGCUGAGAGCGCCGCUAUUUAUGCAGCCAUCACCCCUUCCCCGGGGAGGAGGAGGAGGAAGAAGAGGGGUGGGUUGGGUUUUUUUGUUGUUUUUCCUUUUUUUUUUUUCCUAUUUUUUUCUUUUUUUUUUUUUUUUUUCUCCCAAAUCGCAUCCAAGCAAAUCUGUAACUGAGAUGAUUCAGAGCAGCAGCACUCGGGGCUGGUGAAUCCCACCCUUGGCUGCUCCAAGGGCACAGGCCAGCCCUGGAUGGGCUUGGGAGGGUUCAGGGAGAGGUGAUCCUUCAGAAGGUCGGGUUUGGGGAGGGAUGGGGGUUUGGAAGAGGCAUUUUGGGGAGGGAUGUGGAUUUGGAGACAGAUGUUCAUUCAGGAGAUACGAUUUUGGGAAGGUUUUUGUAUGGGGGUGAUGCUGGUUUGGGAUGGAUGUGGAUUUUGGGAUGCAGAUUUUGGGAUGGAUCUGGGUUUGGGGACAGAUGUUUGUUCAGGAGAUGUGGUUUUGGGAAAGAUGCAGAUUUUGGGAUGGAUCUGGGUUUGGGGACAGAUGUUUGUUCAGGAAAUGUGGGUUUGGGAAAGAUGCAGAUUUUGGGAGGGUUUUGGUUUGGAAGUGAUGCUGGUUUGGGAUGGAUGCAGAUUUUGGGAUGCACUCUGGGGAGGGAUGUGGGUUUAGGGACAGAUGUUUGUUCAGGAGAUGUGGGUUUGGGAAAGAUGCAGAUUUUGGGAAGGUUUUGGUUUGGGGGUGAUGCUGGUGUGGGAUGGAUGCAGAUUUUGGGAGAGGUGCUGGUUUCAGAGAGAUGCUGCUCUGGGAGCAGUGCUGAUUUGGGCAGGGAUAAGGGUUUGGAAGGUGCUGCUUUAGAGAGGGUUGUUUAUCUGGAGGAUUCUGAUUUGGGAUUGAUGCCGGCUUGGAAGGAUGCUGAUUUUCGGAGAGGUGCCGGUUUGGGAAGGGAUGCUGCUCUGAAGGGGGGAUGGUUUGGGAAGUGGUGUUUGUUGGGAGCAUGCUGGCCCAGGAGGGAUGCUGCUUUGAGGGAUGCUGAUGUAGGGAGGGUUGCUGAUUUUGGGAAGGGAUGCUG